UAGGGAAUAUUAGAAAUGGACGAAAGUCUGAUCUAGCAACACCGCGUGUGCGAAGAAGGCCUUCGGGUCGUAAAGCACUUUUUGGAAAGAAUAGGAAGGAAUGUACUUCCAGAAUAAGUCUCGGCUAACUACGUGCCAGCAGCCGCGGUAACACGUAGGAGGCAAACGUUAUCCGGAUUUACUGGGCGUAAAGCGCGUGUAGGUGGUACUGUAAGUAGGGCGUGAAAGCUCCUGGCUCAACUGGGAGAGGCCGUUCUAAACUACAGAACUAGAGGAUGGUAGGGGGAGGUGGAAUACCAGGUGUAGCGGUGGAAUGCGCAGAUAUCUGGAGGAACACCGGUGGCGAAGGCGGCCUCCUGGACCAUUCCCGACACUCAGACGCGAAAGCUAGGGUAGCA
RNAcentral lists this ribosomal RNA (398 nucleotides) under uncultured bacterium. Its description in RNAcentral is "bacterial SSU rRNA". It matches the Rfam family "Bacterial small subunit ribosomal RNA", at positions 355 to 770 of the family's 1533-position model. The record is from RNAcentral.